UAGGGAAUCUUCGGCAAUGGACGAAAGUCUGACCGAGCAACGCCGCGUGAGUGAAGAAGGUUUUCGGUUCGUAAAACUCUGUUCUUAGAGAAGAACAAGGACGUUAGUAACUGAACGUCCCCUGACGGUAUCUAACCAGAAAGCCACGGCUAACUACGUGCCAGCAGCCGCGGUAAUACGUAGGUGGCAAGCGUUGUCCGGAUUUAUUGGGCGUAAAGCGAGCGCAGGCGGUUUCUUAAGUCUGAUGUGAAAGCCCCCGGCUAAACCGGGGAGGGUCAUUGGAAACUGGGAGACUUGAGUGCAGAAGAGGAGAGUGGAAUUCCAUGUGUAGCGGUGAAAUGCGUAGAUAUAUGGAGGAACACCAGUGGCGAAGGCGGCUCUCUGGUCUGUAACUGACGCUGAGGCUCGAAAGCGUGGGGAGCAAACAGG
RNAcentral lists this ribosomal RNA (429 nucleotides) under Gemmatimonadota bacterium. RNAcentral describes it as "Gemmatimonadetes bacterium partial 16S ribosomal RNA". It matches the Rfam family "Bacterial small subunit ribosomal RNA", at positions 355 to 776 of the family's 1533-position model. Lineage: Bacteria; Pseudomonadati; Gemmatimonadota. The record is from RNAcentral.